RNAcentral lists this ribosomal RNA (253 nucleotides) under uncultured bacterium. Its description in RNAcentral is "partial 16S ribosomal RNA". It matches the Rfam family "Bacterial small subunit ribosomal RNA", at positions 524 to 776 of the family's 1533-position model. The record is from RNAcentral.
UACGAAGGGGGCUAGCGUUGCUCGGAAUCACUGGGCGUAAAGGGUGCGUAGGCGGGUUUUUAAGUCAGAGGUGAAAUCCUGGAGCUCAACUCCAGAACUGCCUUUGAUACUGAAAGUCUUGAGUAUGGGAGAGGUGAGUGGAAUUCCCGGUGUAGUGGUGAAAUGCGUAGAUAUCGGGAGGAACACCAGUGGCGAGGGCGACUACCUGGCCUGUUCUUGACGCUGAGGCGCGAAAGCUAGGGGAGCAAACGGG